RNAcentral lists this ribosomal RNA (195 nucleotides) under uncultured Carnobacterium sp. Its description in RNAcentral is "partial 16S ribosomal RNA". It matches the Rfam family "Bacterial small subunit ribosomal RNA", at positions 338 to 525 of the family's 1533-position model. Lineage: Bacteria; Bacillati; Bacillota; Bacilli; Lactobacillales; Carnobacteriaceae. The record is from RNAcentral.
CCUACGGGAGGCAGCAGUAGGGAAUCUUCCGCAAUGGACGAAAGUCUGACGGAGCAAUGCCGCGUGAGUGAAGAAGGUUUUCGGAUCGUAAAACUCUGUUGUUAGAGAAGAACAAGGAUGAGAGUAACUGCUCAUCCCCUGACGGUAUCUAACCAGAAAGCCACGGCUAACUACGUGCCAGCAGCCGCGGUAAUA